UAAGGAAUAUUGGACAAUGGAGGCAACUCUGAUCCAGCCAUGCCGCGUGAAGGAAUAAGGCCCUAUGGGUUGUAAACUUCUUUUAGACGGGACAAAACCCCUUUACGUGUAAAGGGUUGAUGGUACUGUCAGAAUAAGCACCGGCUAACUCCGUGCCAGCAGCCGCGGUAAUACGGAGGGUGCAAGCGUUAUCCGGAUUCACUGGGUUUAAAGGGUGCGUAGGUGGGCAGAUAAGUCAGUGGUGAAAUCUUCCGGCUUAACCGGGAAACUGCCGUUGAUACUAUUUGUCUUGAAUAUUGCGGAGGUAAGCGGAAUAUGUCAUGUAGCGGUGAAAUGCUUAGAUAUGACAUAGAACACCAAUUGCGAAGGCAGCUUACUACACAAUCAUUGACACUGAGGCACGAAAGCGUGGGUAGCGAACA
This 422-nucleotide ribosomal RNA is filed under the name uncultured bacterium. RNAcentral describes it as "bacterial SSU rRNA". It matches the Rfam family "Bacterial small subunit ribosomal RNA", at positions 355 to 774 of the family's 1533-position model. The record is from RNAcentral.